Molecule: ribosomal RNA, 494 nt
Filed under: uncultured bacterium
Lineage: Bacteria
Description: bacterial SSU rRNA
Rfam family: Bacterial small subunit ribosomal RNA
Source: RNAcentral
AUUGAACGCUGGCGGCAGGCCUAACACAUGCAAGUCGAGCGGUAGAGAGGUGCUUGCAUCUCUUGAGAGCGGCGGACGGGUGAGUAAUGCCUAGGAAUCUGCCUGGUGGUGGGGGAUAACGUUCGGAAACGGACGCUAAUACCGCAAACGUCCUACGGGAGAAAGCGGGGGAUCUUCGGACCUCGCGCCAUUAGAUGAGCCUAGGUCGGAUUAGCUAGUUGGUGAGGUAAUGGCUCACCAAGGCGACGAUCCGUAACUGGUCUGAGAGGAUGAUCAGUCACACUGGAACUGAGACACGGUCCAGACUCCUACGGGAGGCAGCAGUGGGGAAUAUUGGACAAUGGGCGAAAGCCUGAUCCAGCCAUGCCGCGUGUGUGAAGAAGGUCUUCGGAUUGUAAAGCACUUUAAGUUGGGAGGAAGGGUAGUAACCUAAUACGUUGCUACUUUGACGUUACCGACAGAAUAAGCACCGGCUAACUUCGUGCCAGCAGCCG